This 208-nucleotide unclassified non-coding RNA is filed under the name uncultured Entoloma. RNAcentral describes it as "sequence contains ITS2". Lineage: Eukaryota; Fungi; Basidiomycota; Agaricomycetes; Agaricales; Entolomataceae. The record is from RNAcentral.
AAUUCUCAACCUUUCUAGCUUUUGCAAGCUAAGUUAGGCUUGGAUAAUUGGAGGUUGCUGGCUAUUAAAAGUCGGCUCUUCUUAAAUAUAUUAGCAGAACCUUUUUGUUGAUCAUCUUUGGUAUGAUAAUUAUCUAUACCAUAGAUAGUUGGCUUCCUUUAUUUUGGAGAGGUUUGCUUCUAAUCGUCCAUCAGGGACAAUUUUGAAA